Molecule: long non-coding RNA, 205 nt
Filed under: Mytilus galloprovincialis (Mediterranean mussel)
Lineage: Eukaryota; Metazoa; Mollusca; Bivalvia; Mytilida; Mytilidae
Source: RNAcentral
CUAUUAUUAAUUUUUAUUUGAUCAUUGUCCAGUCCUCGUAAUUAUUGUCCAGUUCUUGUGGAUCAUUGACUGUCCAGUCAAUUUAAUGCUUGUCCAGUUGAGUUGUUAUUAUAGUUAAGUGCACAUUGUAUGUGAACUAUAUACAAUCAUUUAUAUUUAUUAUUGAAAUUUAUUUCAAAAGAGUUGAAUUUUAACUCUGACAGGG